UUUUUUUUUCCUCUGUCCAGCGGCACCUCAGCCCACCUCUGCUAAUGGACGACCAGGCAUCCCUUCAAUUCCUGGUGGAUUGAACCCUAUAGGACAAGUAAUCACAUAUUCGUGCCUCCCUGGCUUUACAUUUACAAGUGGCACUAGCAGCACAAUCGUAUGUGGUGCUUGUGGGGUUUGGUCAGGUGGAGCACCUGCUUGUAUUGCAGCAUGUGGCCAACCACCUGCCACCAGUGUUGGUCUCACCUAUGCUCUAGUUCCCAGCAGCGGCAUAAAUCCAACAAUAUUUCCAUCUGGUUCAGUUGUAGCGUACACAUGCUCUUCCCCACUCUUGCUGUUUGGUUUUUCUUCAAAUUUAUGUAAUGCUGGUGCAUGGGUAAACGCCUCUCCAACUUGUGGAAGUGGUUGUACCGCCCCUCCUUCCAUUUCAACUGGAU
Molecule: non-coding RNA, 437 nt
Organism: Ciona intestinalis (vase tunicate)
Lineage: Eukaryota; Metazoa; Chordata; Ascidiacea; Phlebobranchia; Cionidae
Source: RefSeq, a predicted model, not a curated record